GACGAACGCUGGCGGCGUGCUUAACACAUGCAAGUCGAACGGAAAGGCCCUGCUUUUGUGGGGUGCUCGAGUGGCGAACGGGUGAGUAUCACGCGAGUGAACUGCCCUUGACUUUGGGAUAACUUAAGGAAACUGGGGCUAAUACCGGAUAGGAGCUCCUGCUGCAUGGUGGGGGUUGGAAAGUUUCGGCGGUUGGGGAUGGACGCGCGGCUUAUCAGCGUGUUGGUGAGGUAGUGGCGUACCAAGGCUUUGACGGGUAGCCGGACUGAGAGGGUGACCGGCCACAUUGGGACUGAGGUACGGCCCAGACGGCUACGGGAGGCAGCAGUGGGGAAUAGUGCACGAUGGGCGGAAGCCUGAUGCAGCAACGCCGCGUGCGGGAUGACGGCCUGCGGGGUGGAACCCGCUUGCGCCUGGGACGAAGCGUGAGUGACGGUAAUGGGUAAAGAAGCACCGGCUAACUACGUG
Molecule: ribosomal RNA, 468 nt
Filed under: uncultured bacterium
Lineage: Bacteria
Description: partial 16S ribosomal RNA
Rfam family: Bacterial small subunit ribosomal RNA
Source: RNAcentral